Molecule: ribosomal RNA, 608 nt
Filed under: uncultured bacterium
Lineage: Bacteria
Description: bacterial SSU rRNA
Rfam family: Bacterial small subunit ribosomal RNA
Source: RNAcentral
GAGUUUGAUCAUGGCUCAGAUUGAACGCUGGCGGCAUGCCUUACACAUGCAAGUCGAACGGUAACGCGGAGCAAUCUGGCGACGAGUGGCGAACGGGUGAGUAAUAUAUCGGAACAUACCCUAGAGUGGGGGAUAACGUAGUGAAAGUUACGCUAAUACCGCAUACGAUCUGAGGAUGAAAGUGGGGGAUCGCAAGACCUCAUGCUCAUGGAGUGGCCGAUAUCUGAUUAGCUAGUUGGUAGGGUAAAAGCCUACCAAGGCGACGAUCAGUAGCUGGUUUGAGAGAACGACCAGCCACACUGGAACUGAGACACGGUCCAGACUCCUACGGGAGGCAGCAGUGGGGAAUUUUGGACAAUGGGGGCAACCCUGAUCCAGCAAUGCCGCGUGAGUGAAGAAGGCCUUCGGGUUGUAAGGCUCUUUUGUCAGGGAAGAAAAGGUAGUCUCUAAUACAGACUGCUCAUGACGGUACCUGAAGAAUAAGCACCGGCUAACUACGUGCCAGCAGCCGCGGUAAUACGUAGGGUGCAAGCGUUAAUCGGAAUUACUGGGCGUAAAGCGUGCGCAGGCGGUUAUAUAAGUCAGAUGUGAAAUCCCUGGGCUCACCU